UGAUAGAGGAGGAUAGAGGGAGAAAGGGAGUGUCUGAUAGAGGAGGAGGAUAUAGGGAGAAAGGGAGUGUCUGACAGAAGAGGAGGAUAGAGAGAGUGAGGCAGUUCCACAGGCAGACGAUAGAAGCGGAUUGAUCUCUCUCUCGCGCGCUGUAGUCGGUCCUGUCUACCGGGAGAUGCUCGAGCGUUCCUGAUUUUUCCACUCUAACCACCGCUAAAUCCCCGUUAGAGCUCGUUACCUCCACUGUACUGUUUUCGGUAGUUUGAGGGGGGUGUAAAUCGCGUGUCGUCUUGUCUGGGAACAUAAGGCUAACCAGGGCUACAGAUCAUCUGGAUCAGAACUUCACGACUAGAAGCACCAGGUCUCCGGUAAAACGAUGGAGGACUUGGAUCUUCCCCAGAUGAAGAGGGAGGGAGAGUCUUCAGUACCAGCUGGCCAUCAACUUAGAGAAAUCCUCCAUCACGGUUACUGAGCUGGUGAAGUGGAUCGAGGGGUGUG
Molecule: long non-coding RNA, 498 nt
Organism: Oncorhynchus nerka (sockeye salmon)
Lineage: Eukaryota; Metazoa; Chordata; Actinopteri; Salmoniformes; Salmonidae
Exons: 3
Source: RefSeq, a predicted model, not a curated record